UAGUACGUAGGUAUUAGUGACAGCUAUUAUUAUGUGUCCACAUGGAAUCAAUAGGAAGUGAAUUUAAUUUCAGUCAUAACCACCUUCUCUGCAUUUGAAUAAAAUGUAAAUAUGAUUUCUAGUUAGAAAAUAAGUUUAUUAGCUUUGUCACUGAGUUGUUGCUUUUAAACAUCAAUAGUGUGACUACUGGCUUUUAUUCAAAGGUUAAAUUGGAAGCUAAGCUACAAAUAACCCUUUUUCAAAUGUUAGGUUGAAAAAGAAACUAUGAAAAAGUCAAAAGACAUUUUAGUAUGUGCUGAUCAUAUCCCUAUAUAUUAAUAUAUAUCCAUUGGAAUUUGG
RNAcentral lists this long non-coding RNA (339 nucleotides) under Bos taurus (domestic cattle). RNAcentral's name for it is "long non-coding RNA NONBTAT021654". The record is from RNAcentral. Lineage: Eukaryota; Metazoa; Chordata; Mammalia; Artiodactyla; Bovidae.